Molecule: ribosomal RNA, 119 nt
Filed under: Pteropus alecto (black flying fox)
Lineage: Eukaryota; Metazoa; Chordata; Mammalia; Chiroptera; Pteropodidae
Source: RNAcentral
GUCUACAGCCAUGCCACCCUGAACACGCCCGAUCCUGUCUGAUCUAAGAAGCUAAGCAGGGUCAGGCCUGGUUAGUACUUGGGUGAGAGACCACCUACGAAGACUGCGUGCUGUAGGUG